GACGUAGGGCGCGAGCGUUGUCCGGAAUUAUUGGGCGUAAAGGGCUCGUAGGCGGUUAGUCACGUCGGGAGUGAAAACUCAGGGCUCAACCCUGAGCGUGCUUCCGAUACGGGCUGACUAGAGGUAUGCAGGGGAGAACGGAAUUCCUGGUGUAGCGGUGGAAUGCGCAGAUAUCAGGAGGAACACCGGUGGCGAAGGCGGUUCUCUGGGCAUUACCUGACGCUGAGGAGCGAAAGCAUGGGGAGCGAACAGG
RNAcentral lists this ribosomal RNA (253 nucleotides) under uncultured bacterium. RNAcentral describes it as "partial 16S ribosomal RNA". It matches the Rfam family "Bacterial small subunit ribosomal RNA", at positions 524 to 776 of the family's 1533-position model. The record is from RNAcentral.